RNAcentral lists this ribosomal RNA (676 nucleotides) under Staphylococcus aureus. Its description in RNAcentral is "bacterial SSU rRNA". It matches the Rfam family "Bacterial small subunit ribosomal RNA", at positions 233 to 900 of the family's 1533-position model. Lineage: Bacteria; Bacillati; Bacillota; Bacilli; Caryophanales; Staphylococcaceae. The record is from RNAcentral.
GCGCUGCAUUAGCUAGUUGGUAAGGUAACGGCUUACCAAGGCAACGAUGCAUAGCCGACCUGAGAGGGUGAUCGGCCACACUGGAACUGAGACACGGUCCAGACUCCUACGGGAGGCAGCAGUAGGGAAUCUUCCGCAAUGGGCGAAAGCCUGACGGAGCAACGCCGCGUGAGUGAUGAAGGUCUUCGGAUCGUAAAACUCUGUUAUUAGGGAAGAACAUAUGUGUAAGUAACUGUGCACAUCUUGACGGUACCUAAUCAGAAAGCCACGGCUAACUACGUGCCAGCAGCCGCGGUAAUACGUAGGUGGCAAGCGUUAUCCGGAAUUAUUGGGCGUAAAGCGCGCGUAGGCGGUUUUUUAAGUCUGAUGUGAAAGCCCACGGCUCAACCGUGGAGGGUCAUUGGAAACUGGAAAACUUGAGUGCAGAAGAGGAAAGUGGAAUUCCAUGUGUAGCGGUGAAAUGCGCAGAGAUAUGGAGGAACACCAGUGGCGAAGGCGACUUUCUGGUCUGUAACUGACGCUGAUGUGCGAAAGCGUGGGGAUCAAACAGGAUUAGAUACCCUGGUAGUCCACGCCGUAAACGAUGAGUGCUAAGUGUUAGGGGGUUUCCGCCCCUUAGUGCUGCAGCUAACGCAUUAAGCACUCCGCCUGGGGAGUACGACCGCAAGGUUGAAAC